This 253-nucleotide ribosomal RNA is filed under the name uncultured bacterium. RNAcentral's name for it is "partial 16S ribosomal RNA". It matches the Rfam family "Bacterial small subunit ribosomal RNA", at positions 524 to 776 of the family's 1533-position model. The record is from RNAcentral.
UACGGGGGGGGCAAGCGUUGUUCGGAAUUACUGGGCGUAAAGGGCUCGUAAGCGGCCAACUAAGUCGGAUGUGAAAUCCCCAGGCUCAACCUGGGAACUGCAUCCGAUACUGGAUGGCUUGAAUUCGGGAGAGGGAUGCAGAAUUCCAGGUGUAGCGGUGAAAUGCGUAGAUAUCUGGAGGAAUACCGGUGGCGAAGGCGGCAUCCUGGACCGACAUUGACGCUGAUGAGCGAAAGCUAGGGGAGCAAACGGG